CGAGUGGCGAACGGGUGAGUAACGCGUGAGGAACCUGCCUCAAAGAGGGGGACAACAGUUGGAAACGACUGCUAAUACCGCAUAAGCCCACGACCCGGCAUCGGGAAGAGGGAAAAGGAGCAAUCCGCUUUGAGAUGGCCUCGCGUCCGAUUAGCUAGUUGGUGAGGUAACGGCCCACCAAGGCGACGAUCGGUAGCCGGACUGAGAGGUUGAACGGCCACAUUGGGACUGAGACACGGCCCAG
Molecule: ribosomal RNA, 244 nt
Filed under: uncultured bacterium
Lineage: Bacteria
Description: partial 16S ribosomal RNA
Rfam family: Bacterial small subunit ribosomal RNA
Source: RNAcentral